AGAGUUUGAUCCUGGCUCAGAUUGAACGCUGGCGGCAUGCCUUACACAUGCAAGUCGAACGGCAGCACGGGAGCAAUCCUGGUGGCGAGUGGCGAACGGGUGAGUAAUAUAUCGGAACGUGCCCAGUCGUGGGGGAUAACGCAGCGAAAGCUGUGCUAAUACCGCAUACGAUCUACGGAUGAAAGCGGGGGAUCGCAAGACCUCGCGCGAUUGGAGUGGCCGAUAUCAGAUUAGCUAGUUGGUGGGGUAAAAGCCCACCAAGGCGACGAUCUGUAGCUGGUCUGAGAGGACGACCAGCCACACUGGAACUGAGACACGGUCCAGACUCCUACGGGAGGCAGCAGUGGGGAAUUUUGGACAAUGGGCGCAAGCCUGAUCCAGCAAUGCCGCGUGCAGGAUGAAGGCCUUCGGGUUGUAAACUGCUUUUGUACGGAGCGAAACGGCUUCCCCUAAUACGGGGAGCUAAUGACGGUACCGUAAGAAUAAGCACCGGCUAACUACGUGCCAGCAGCCGCGGUAAUACGUAGGGUGCAAGCGUUAAUCGGAAUUACUGGGCGUAAAGCGUGCGCAGGCGGUUAUAUAAGACAGAUGUGAAAUCCCCGGGCUCAACCUGGGACCUGCAUUUGUGACUGUAUAGCUAGAGUACGGUAGAGGGGGAUGGAAUUCCGCGUGUAGCAGUGAAAUGCGUAGAUAUGCGGAGGAACACCGAUGGCGAAGGCAAUCCCCUGGACCUGUACUGACGCUCAUGCACG
RNAcentral lists this ribosomal RNA (752 nucleotides) under uncultured bacterium. RNAcentral's name for it is "bacterial SSU rRNA". It matches the Rfam family "Bacterial small subunit ribosomal RNA", at positions 8 to 755 of the family's 1533-position model. The record is from RNAcentral.